UCGGGAAUUUUGGGCAAUGGGCGAAAGCCUGACCCAGCAACGCCGCGUGAGGGAUGAAGUAUUUCGGUAUGUAAACCUCGAAAGAAUGGGAAGAAUAAAUGACGGUACCAUUUAUAAGCUCCGGCUAACUACGUGCCAGCAGCCGCGGUAAUACGUAGGGAGCAAGCGUUGUUCGGAUUUACUGGGCGUAAAGGGCGCGUAGGCGGCGCGGUAAGUCACUUGUGAAAUCUCUGAGCUUAACUCAGAACGGCCAAGUGAUACUGCUGUGCUAGAGUGCGGAAGAGGCAACCGGAAUUCUUGGUGUAGCGGUGAAAUGCGUAGAUAUCAAGAGGAACACCGGCGGUGUAGACGGCUUGCUAGACCAUAACUGACGCUGAGGCACGAAAGCGUGGGUAGCAAACA
Molecule: ribosomal RNA, 402 nt
Filed under: uncultured bacterium
Lineage: Bacteria
Description: bacterial SSU rRNA
Rfam family: Bacterial small subunit ribosomal RNA
Source: RNAcentral